AGUUGUCAAGGGUUUCCCUGAAAUAGAAUUGAAGUGGAUGUUUGGAAACAAGGAGGUUGUAGUUCCAAAGGCCGUUAGCCUCCACUUGCAUCAUGAUUGGAAGAAAUGGCGUGAGGAUGUUAAAGCAGACCUCAAGAGGGAUUUGCUGGAGAAUGUUGAGCAUGGUAAAAAAUAUAUGGCUGAGAAACAGGAAAGGAUCCUCCUGGAUCGGGAUAGAGUGGUGGCAAAAUCAUGGUAUAAUGAAGAAAGAAAUAGGUGGGAGAUGGAUCCUGUGGCUGUUCCUUAUGCUGUGUCCAAGAAGCUUCUUGAGAGUGCUAGAAUCAGACAUGACUGGGCUGCCAUGUAUGUUAUGUUGAAGGGAGAUGAUAGAGAAUAUUAUGUUGAUAUCAAGGAAUAUGAAGUGAUAUAUGAAGAUUUUGGAGGUUUUGAUGCCUUGUACCUGCGAAUGCUUGCUUCAGGUAUCCCAACUGCGGUUCAGCUGAUGUGGAUUCCUUUCUCA
RNAcentral lists this unclassified non-coding RNA (499 nucleotides) under Hevea brasiliensis (rubber tree). The record is from RNAcentral. Lineage: Eukaryota; Viridiplantae; Streptophyta; Magnoliopsida; Malpighiales; Euphorbiaceae.